GUCCGCAUGGCGCAGUGGUAGCGUGGUACGUUCUUCUUAUUGAAAACCCACCGUUCUCAUUGCUCAUCCUCGCAGUCAGUUUCCGGCUUGAGACUCAAGGGUGGAACUCGCUGAAGGCCGUGGGUUCGAACCCCGCUGUGGAUU
This is a non-coding RNA of Kockovaella imperatae, 144 nucleotides long. The record is from the annotation of a RefSeq genome assembly. Lineage: Eukaryota; Fungi; Basidiomycota; Tremellomycetes; Tremellales; Cuniculitremaceae.